RNAcentral lists this long non-coding RNA (1425 nucleotides) under Sorghum bicolor (sorghum). Its description in RNAcentral is "long non-coding RNA (SBIC_LNC000176)". The record is from RNAcentral. Lineage: Eukaryota; Viridiplantae; Streptophyta; Magnoliopsida; Poales; Poaceae.
AAAAUAUCCAUAGGAGCAAACCUAGGAAUCAUUUGAACGAAGUUGCUGUUAAAAUAGAAUUAGCCUAUAAUAUCCUUGCCGGUUAAUUAAAGAAUGUUGAGGUUCCUUGUCUCCGCACCACUGCCAACCCAACAGGCAACCGCAUGCCUUCAAAUCCCGUGAUGGAGGCUAGCUACCGUACGACGUGAUUGUCAGUAGCCGGGGGGCUUCUGUUCCACGGCUACCUGGUGGACGCAAGUGGUACCCAGACCAACCGGCCAAUAUCGCUUUCGCGAGCAUCCUCGGCCAUGGUAAGACCUAUUGGUCAAGUCAUGCUAGCUAGGCUCAAACCAGAAAGGCAACAAUCAGAUGCCGCUGCCUCCAUUUCAUUCCUCUCGACAAACAUUGCAAGGCAGAAGCAGGUUGGCUUCUAUACAAUUAGAACUGGGUUGGUGACAGUACAAGGAUAAAUCCUGACGCCUCUCAUUCUCACAUUGGUGAAGUUCCUAAUGUGAUGUGGAUUGGAGUCAUGUGGAGAAGAGUAUGUAACCAAAGGACCAAUUUGGUUAUCGAUAAAUUUGGAUGAAGACCACUAGAGCAAAAGAGAAAGAUAUCUGGGUUUUGUACCUAAAUUUCACCUUCUAUAUUUUCCUAGAAUAUAUGCCAAUCCAUUUGCCUUCUAUUGUUGCUCCUUAUAAAGAGUAGAAGAACUCGAGGAAUAUUCGCUUUGAUAGUGGAUCAGUCCGAGUAGGAGGCAAGUGAGUUAUGGUGGAAGAAUUGCCAUUACUGAGAAGUGAUUGCACAUUCAGUAUAUGUAGGAUACUUACUAGUUCCCUAUAGAGAUGAACGAGUUAGGUCUAACCAACCAACCUACUCUGGAAGUGAAAAGUCACUAGUCCCAGUCACCAGUUACAAAUAAAAGCCACACCCACACUACACAAGACACCAUCUGGAACGUCUAGAAAGAAAAGAACAGGAGAAUUUUCUUCAACUCACCUGAGACGGCGCUGUAGGUGACUGCAAGAACAAAAGAAGAUAUCCUACAGUGGAGGAGGGCCCAAAUUUGGAGCGUAUAAUCGUUUUUAGUGUUAUUGUAUUUUGUUUCUCAAUCCCCCAGAUCAAGGUUGGGAGGAGGGGGAACUGCUGUACAUAAACUCCUUUUCCAAUCUUAAUUGAAAGGCAGAGCUCUUGCCAGUUCACUUUCAAAAAAUAUUACAAGCCAGCUGCCUAGACUUGUAGAUUAAUUAUAGAAAAAAUGUACCAGCAUUUACAAUAUCAAAUAGUUUUAUUAAUUUUUCUAGGAAUGAUUAUACUUUGAUAGUAGAUUAAUUUUGUACUUGUAGAUGCUAACAUACUUUUUGUUAUAAAACAUCAGAGUUGUUUGACUCAGGACAGAGCUAAAGCGGCAUAUAAUCUGGAAUGCCAAACUAUUUUAUUUAAAGGAGA